GGAAUGAUUCCACUGAGCAUUAAAAAUGAAACUCCAAAUGCAUACAUCUCCACCAAGAAAAUCACCGCAACACAGUGUGGCAGUCACUGUAAAGCUCUGGUAUUUUGACAGUGGACCAAUAAUGGAAGUGAUGGAAGCAGGGGGACUGGAUCCAGGGUCUCCCACCUCCAAGGUGGGGGUCCUACCUGCUGAUCCACAGAAUCUCUGGCCCAACUACAAAAUCACUGUAGCUGCCUGAUUGACAGAGGGAUUGGCAUGCAGCCUGGACACUGAAGAUUUUGGGGGAGGGAGAUGUGAGCACUGCACUGAAUUCCACCAUUCGGUGUCAGACACUGAGCCAGUCUAAGUUAGUGUAGCUGAAGAACUGGCUCCUGAUUUCUACUGCUACCAAGUUGAUGACCAGACUGCUCCCUCUCACCAACAGAAGU
Molecule: long non-coding RNA, 428 nt
Organism: Trachemys scripta elegans
Lineage: Eukaryota; Metazoa; Chordata; Testudines; Emydidae
Exons: 3
Source: RefSeq, a predicted model, not a curated record